This 3107-nucleotide ribosomal RNA is filed under the name Quercus robur (English oak). Its description in RNAcentral is "eukaryotic LSU rRNA". The stretch from base 998 to 3107 matches the Rfam family "Eukaryotic large subunit ribosomal RNA". Lineage: Eukaryota; Viridiplantae; Streptophyta; Magnoliopsida; Fagales; Fagaceae. The record is from RNAcentral.
AUACCUUUGACCUAUCAGAAAUGAAUGAGCUUAAUACCCAUCUCAACACCUUUCGAUCUAUCAAGAUAAAGGAUUUCUAAUAUAGCCAACAACAUUCUAUUUUAAAUGGCCAUUGUUUGUGGGUUUGUGUGACCUAAUAAGAGAGCUUAUUUAAAAGGGGAAAUUAUAGUAAACCCACUUAUGGUUUGGCUCGUUUUCACUUUGCCUACCUGUGGUUUAAAACUUAGCACUUGGCCCACCUAAGGUUACUUCCAUUAGGGCUCCGUUAUCCACCUCUGUUAAAAAGAAGGUUAAAUAUGUAUUUUUGCACUCUUUUUAUGUCUUUUUCCUCCCAAAACAUAAAACACAUAAGAAUUCAAGAGAAAACAAGAUCAAAAUGUGCUAUUGGUAAAAAAUAUUGUGCAAUUUCUUAGAACUUCAACUUGUGUUUGAACUUAUCAUCUCAACCACAAACAAACUAAUUGCACAUCUAAAAGCAUGAUAGAGCCGUAUGAGAAAAAUUAGAUAAAAAUCAAAAUUCCUAAUCUAACUCAACAACAUUCAAAUAAAUCAAAUCAAAUCUCCUACUCCUCAUGUCCCUGCCAAAAAAAAAUUGAAAACCCAAAAAAGUUCAAAAACUUGAAACCCAAAACUGGCACUAUAAACACCAUUAGAACCCACAACUACCACUAGCACACCCACAGUCCACAACCACUGCCCCAAAUUUCCCUCAAAUUUUUCUAAGCAAAACAACACCCAAUUGCCCGAAUAUGAGGUCGUCGAUUUCACGGCGAUGAUGGUGACCUCAAUGGAGCGGCCGUUGAAGGAUCGAAAGUUGUUGUUGGAGUGUAAGCAGAGGGAUUUUUAUAGCAUUUUGGUGGCGUCGAUUAAGCAAGAAAAGGAGCAGCAACGAGUUAAGUCACAACAGAGGAAAGACGGGCUUGUUGCGAAGAAUCGGCUGAUGGGUUCAGAGGAAACUCGGUACGACAUUGAUGAGUUUUACCAACAACGGUGAUGGUGACCUUGAUUUCAUGGCGUUGAGACAGUGCUUUUUGAAUUUUAGCGUGAGAGAUGAGAGAGAGAUUUUCUUUUAGUGUGUUAUAGAGACAUUUUGUGCUUGGGUUAUGGGGUUUAAUGUGUUAUAGAGAUAUUAAAAAAGGUCUCAAUGUAGACCUUUUUUAAUGGUAGUAGCAAAUAUUCAAAUGAGAACUUUGAAGGCCGAAGGGGGAAAGGUUCCAUGUGAACGGCACUUGCACAUGGAUUAGUCGAUCUAAGAGACGGGGGAAGCUCGUCUGAUAGAGUGCUAAGCGCGAGCUUCGAAAGGGAAUUGAGUUAAAAUUCCUAAACCGGGACGUGACGGCUGACAAAAAUGUUAGGGAGUCCAGAGACGUCGGUAGGGGCCUCGAGAAGAGUUAUCUUUUUUGUUCAAUAGCUUGCUCACCCUAUAAAUGGCUCAACUAGAGGUAGGGUCCAGUGGUUGGAAAAGCGCCGCAUGUCACGUGGUGUCCGGUGCGCCCCUAGCAACCCUUGAAAAUCCGGAGGACCGAGUGCCUCCCACGCCCGGUCGUACUCAUAACGGUAUCAGGUCUCCAAGGUAAACAACCUCUGGUUGAUGGAACAAUGUAGGCAAGGGAAGUCAACAAAAUGGAUCUACAACCUCGGGAAAAGGAUUGGCUCUGAGGGCUGGGCAUGGGGGUCCCAGUCUUGAACUUGUUGGCUAUCGGCUAUCGGCUAAAUGCUCGAGCUGCUCCCGCAGUGAGAGUGGGUCGUUGCGUGCCGGCCAGGGGACGGACUAGGAACGACCACCUUGGCAGUCUUCCCUGGGCGUUGAACAGUCAACUCAGAGCUAGUACGAACAAGGGGAAUCCGACUGUUUAAUUAAAACAAAGCAUUGCGAUGGUCCCUUUGGAUGUUCACGCAAUGUGAUUUCAGUCUAGUGCUCUGAAUGUCAAAGUGAAGAAAUUCAACCAAGCACGGGUAAACGGCAAGAGUAACUAUAACUCAUUUAAGGUGGCCAAAUGCCUUGUCAUCUAAUUAGUGACGUGCAUAAAUGGAUUAAAAAGAUUCCCAUUGUCCCUGUCUACUAUCCAGCGAAACCACAGCCAAAGGAAUGGGCUUGGCAGAAUCAGCGGGGAAAGAAGACCUUGUUGAGCUUAACUCUAAUCUGACUUUGUGAAAUGACUUGAGAGGUGUAGGAUAAGUGGCAGCUGAAAGGCGAAAGUGAAAUACCACUACUUUGAAUGUUAUUUUACUUAUUUCGUGAAUCAGAAGUGGGGCUCUACCCCUCUUUUUGGACCCAAGGCUCGCCUCAGCGGGCCGAUCUAGGCGGAAGACAUUGUCAGGUGAGGAGUUUGGCUGGGGCGGCACAUCUGUUAAAAGAUAAUACAGGUGUCCUAAGAUGAACUCAAUAAGAACAGAAAUCUCAUGUGGAACAAAAGGGUAAAAGCUCAUUUGAUUCUGAUUUCCAGUACGAAUACAAAUCCUGAAUGCAUGGCCUAUCAAUCCUUUAGACCUUUGGAAUUUGAAGCUAGAGGUGUCAAAAAAGUUACCAUAGGGAUAAAUGGCUUGUGGCAACCAAGUGUUCAUAGUAAUGUUGCUUUUUUAUCCUUCGAUGUCGGCUCUUCCUAUCAUUGUGAAGCAGAAUUCAUCAAGUGUUGGAUUGUUCACCCACCAAUAGGGAACGUGAGUUGGGUUUAUACCGUCAUGAGACAGGUUAGUUUUACCCUACUAAUGACACUGUCGCAAUAGUAAUUCAACCUAGUACGAGAGGAAUCAUUGAUUCGCACAAUUGGUUAUCGCGUUUGGUUAAAAAGCUAGUGGCACGAAGUUACCGUGUGCUGGAUUAUGAGUGAACACCUCUAAGUCAGAAUUCAGGCUAGAAGCGAUGCGUGCGCCUGCUGCCCGAUUGCCUACCUACAGUAGGGGCCCUCAAGCCCCUAGAGGCACAUGUCUUUGGCUAAGCCCCUAUGGCGGACGAGCCACAUGAACCGCCUUGAAGUGUAAUUACCACAGAGCGACGGGUAGAAUUCUUUGUAGAUGACUUAAAUAUGUGACAGGGUAUUGUAAGUGGUAGAGUAGCCUUGCUGCCACGAUCCAUUAAGAUUUAGCCCUGUGUUACUUCGAUUCGU